AACGAACGCUGGCGGCAUGCCUAACACAUGCAAGUCGAACGAAGGCUUCGGCCUUAGUGGCGCACGGGUGCGUAACGCGUGGGAAUCUGCCCUUAGGUUCGGAAUAACAGUUAGAAAUGACUGCUAAUACCGGAUGAUGACGUAAGUCCAAAGAUUUAUCGCCUGAGGAUGAGCCCGCGUAGGAUUAGCUAGUUGGUGUGGUAAAGGCGCACCAAGGCGACGAUCCUUAGCUGGUCUGAGAGGAUGAUCAGCCACACUGAGACUGAGACACGGCCCAGACUCCUACGGGAAGCAGCAGUGGGGAAUAUUGGACAAUGGGCGCAAGCCUGAUCCAGCAAUGCCGCGUGAGUGAUGAAGGCCUUAGGGUUGUAAAGCUCUUUUACCCGUGAUGAUAAUGACAGUAGCGGGAGAAUAAGCCCCGGCUAACUCCGUG
This 433-nucleotide ribosomal RNA is filed under the name uncultured bacterium. RNAcentral's name for it is "partial 16S ribosomal RNA". It matches the Rfam family "Bacterial small subunit ribosomal RNA", at positions 29 to 507 of the family's 1533-position model. The record is from RNAcentral.